GGCACGCCUAACACAUGCAAGUCGAACGCAGUAGCAAUACUGAGUGGCAAACGGGUGAGUAUAAUGUGGGAAUCUGCCUUUUGGUUUGGAAUAACACGGGGAAACUUGUGCUAAUACCGAAUAAGCCCUUACGGGGAAAGUUUUAACGCCGAAAGAUGAGCCCGCACUUGAUUAGCUAGUUGGUAAGGUAAAAGCUUACCAAGGCAACGAUCAAUAGCUGUUCUUAGAGGAAGACCAGCCACAUUGGGACUGAGACACGGCCCAGACUCCUACGGGAGGCGGCAGUGGGGAAUCUUGCACAAUGGGGGAAACCCUGAUGCAGCGAUGCCGCGUGAGUGAAGAAGGCCCUUGGGUUGUAAAACUCUUUCGUCGGGGAAGAAAAUGACUGUACCCGAAUAAGAAGGUCCGGCUAACUUCGUGCCAGCAGCCGCGGUAAUACGAAGGGACCUAGCGUAGUUCGGAAUUACUGGGCUUAAAGAGCUCGUAGGUGGUUAAAAAAGUUGAUGGUGAAAUCCCAAGGCUCAACCUUGGAACUGCCAUCAAAACUUUUUAGCUAGAGUGUGAUAGAGGUAAGUGGAAUUUCUAGUGUAGAGGUGAAAUUCGUAGAUAUUAGAAAGAACACCAAAUGCGAAGGCAACUUACUGGGUCACUACUGACACUGAGGAGCGAAAGCAUGGGUAGCGAAGAGGAUUAGAUACCCUCGUAGUCCAUGCCG
This 715-nucleotide ribosomal RNA is filed under the name uncultured bacterium. RNAcentral describes it as "bacterial SSU rRNA". It matches the Rfam family "Bacterial small subunit ribosomal RNA", at positions 41 to 802 of the family's 1533-position model. The record is from RNAcentral.